AAGAAUAUCUUAUUAAAGAUAUUGAUAAGCAGAAGAUAAAAUAAUCAAAGGAUAAUCAAGAAUAUCUAUUUAAAGAUAUUUAACAACUAACAAGAUUUUCAAGUAAGUCUGUUUAUAUUAUAUUCUGUUUAUAUUUUGUUGGGCAUAUAUCUGUUGGAGGGCCACAAGCCAGGUACCUUCGAAUCAUCUUCCAAUCAUACUCCAUUCACAUUCUACUCACACCCCACUACUCUGAAAAUAUUCUACAGUGAUAACAAAAUCACUAAAUACUCAAUUAUGAACUGAGGUUCAUCAAACCGCUCCUAACUUGAGCGUCAGAGUACAGGUACCUCCCCCCUCCAUCAAAAAGAACAUCGAGCGGCCAAAGAGAAGCGAGCGGUCCAGACGGAAGGAAAGCAGGCUAUCCAAAUAAUCCAGGCAUCGGAAAGCGGUAAAGUCACGUCAGAAAAGGUUAGUGUCUCGGUCCCCAAAAAAUCUACCGAAACAUUUUGGCGCCCACCGUGGGGCCGAGAUUUGAAGAAUCCCAAUGGUGACCACGAGGACCAUGGACAACCCUAGCCAGAUGGAGAUGAUCCGGGAGUUACAAGCACAGUUGGAAGAACAGGCCCGUACCAUACAUCAGCAACAAGAGCUUCAGCAAGCCCAGGCUAAACGAAUGGAGGAACAAGCCCAGAUUAUAGACAACAGCAAGAGACGUAGUAGAAGCAAAACGAAGAAAUUGCCCGACUAAAGGCACAACGUGCAACUCCUGAAAUGUUUGAGACUCAAGGAAGCCAGAAUAACGGACACGGCGUACAUACACCUCCGAGAACCGAUCAGUCACCCAAGUUAUUACCAUUCACAGAAGCAGUUAUGCAAGCCCCGAUGCCCGAUCGGCCUCCACCACCGAUAGAAAGGUUUGACGGCAAUUCAGACCCAGAAUAUCACCUGAUAAAUUUCAUCGACUCCAUGGCCUUCUAUUCCAAAAGCGACCCGGUCAAGUGCAGGGCCUUCUCUCUAUCCUUGAAGGGAGAAGCGCUAGAGUGGUACUACACCCUCCCCCCUAAUACAGUGAACAGCUUCCGCACCGCCAUGACUCUAUUUAAAAAACAAUAUGCCUCCAAUCGGAAACAAGAAAUAACACCAGCGGACUUGGUAAAUACUAAACAGGAGAAAGGAGAAACUUUGAAGGCCUUUAUGAAAAGGUAUACUGAAACCGCACGACAGGUAAAAGAGGUCAAUCACUAUUUUAUUAUUAACAAUUUGUCUUCAUGUCUGAGACCAGGAUACUUUGCCGAAAAGUUGUAUGCGCGACCACCAAAAACUAUGGAAGAACUCCAAGAAAGAGUGGCUGAAUUCAUCCGCAUGGAAGAAAUGCGAAUCUCACAAAGAAAGCGGCAACAAGAAGCUGAUGUGGGAGGAGGUAGAAAGGACGGCAAACGACUGUUCGGUAAUAGUGAUAAAAGUGGGGAGCUUCCCCGGACAUUUAAAUUUAACCAUUUUACAGCCCUCAAUGCACCUAGGGAAAAAGUUCUCAAAGAAGCCCUAAACGCUGAACUUCUCACAUUCUGAAGGAAAACAUCUCCGAAAAACGUAGACGAAAGGAAGAGCUGCUACUUCCAUCAGAACCAUGAACAUACUACAAAAGAAUGCGUGACAUUGAAGAAUGAAAUAUAAAGUCUCAUCCAAGCAGGGCAUCUACGAAAGUAUAUAAAAGAAGAAAGAAAAAGCCUCCCCAGGGAGGGAUAUUUGCAAAGAAGUCCCGAACGAGCAUACCGGAAGGACAAACGAAGGCGGAGCUAUAGUCGUAGUCCCAGUCGCCAUCGUGAACAAUCGGUUCGAGGAGUUAUCAACUGAGGAGAGACAUGAUAAAUUUUAUGUUUAAAUUUUAUUUUCGUUGAUUUAGACUUUUAUUGUUUUCUUGUGCUUUCGUUAUGAAAUAAAUAAAGCAAUUCAUGCUCGCUCAUUAGCGGUAAAAAGUCAACCAGGAGGUUCUUAGGGAACUCUUAUGAAAAAGACCGAGAGGUAAAUCCCUCUCAGCCGAAGAGGUAAAUCCCUCUCGUUCAAAGAAAAAAACCGAGAGGUAAAUCCUUCUCGCCAACUAGUAAGUUGAAAGUAAAGACCGAGCGGUAAAUCCCUCUCGGCCGAGAGGUAAAUCCCUCCCGUUGAAGAAAAAACCGCGAGGUAAAUCCCUCUCGUUAACUAGAAAGUUGAAAACAAAGACCGAGCGGUAAAUCCCUCUCGGCCGAGAGGUAAAUCCCUCUUGUUGAAGAAAAAACCGAGAGGUAAAUCCCUCUCGUCAACUAGAAAGUUGAAAACAAAGACCGAGCGGUAAAUCCCUCUCGCCCGAGAGGUAAAUCCCUCUCGUUGAUGAAUAAGACCGAGAGGUAAAUCCCUCUCGAUUCAUGUUAAAGGCCGAAGAGGUAAAUCUCUCUCGGUUCAUGUUGAAGGCUGAGAGGUAAAUCCCUCUCGGUUCAUGUUGAAGGCCGAAGAAGUAAGUCCCUCUCGGAAGUACGUGCAAAGCAAGCUCCUUAAUACAACGAGAAAAGUCUCCCUCAAACUCAUAAGUCCUAUAGUUAAUCAUGGCUAAAGCCGAACGAUUAACUCGGACUUGGGGGGCAUAAUGUACAGUAUGAUAUCAGGGUCGAGCGGUUACGAUAUAUUUUAUUAAAAAUAUAAAAUAGUCAAGAAUAUCUUAUUAAAGAUAUUGAUAAGCAAAAAAUAAAAUAAUCAAAGGAUAAUCAAGAAUAUCUAUUUAAAGAUAUUUAGCAACUAACAAGAUUUUCAAGUAAGUAUGUUUAUAUUAUAUUCUGUUUAUAUUUUGUUGGGCAUAUAUCAGUUGGAGGCCAACAGGCCAGGUACCUUCGAAUCAUCUUCCAAUCAUACUUCAUUCAUAUUCUACUCACACUCCACUACUCUGAAAAUAUUCUACAAUGAUAACAAAAUCACUAAAUACUCAAUUAUGAACUGAGGUUCAUCAAACCGCUCCUAACUUGAGCGUCGGAGUACCUUUUGCAGGUACCUCCCCCCUCCAUCAAAAAGAACAUCGAGCGGCCAAAGAGAAGCGAGCGGUCCAGACUGAAGGAAAGCAGACUAUCCAGAUAAUCCAAGCAUCGGAAAGCGGUAAAGCCACGUCAGAAAAGGUUAGUGUCUCGGUCCAAAAAAUCUACCGAAACACAUAAGAUAGACAUUCUUAAAAUAAAAAAAUUUGAUUUAUUUUCCUGCAAUUAGAAUCUAACAUUAAAUCUUUCGGAGAGAAUAAACACAUUUGAUAAAAAUAAUAUAACAUAUGUGAUACGUAUAUAAAU
Molecule: long non-coding RNA, 3287 nt
Filed under: Vigna radiata
Lineage: Eukaryota; Viridiplantae; Streptophyta; Magnoliopsida; Fabales; Fabaceae
Description: long non-coding RNA (VRAD_LNC003773)
Source: RNAcentral